AGCCAGACUCCUACGGGAGGCAGCAGUGGGGAAUAUUGCACAAUGGGGGAAACCCUGAUGCAGCGACGCCGCGUGAGCGAAGAAGUAUUUCGGUAUGUAAAGCUCUAUCAGCAGGGAAGAAAAUGACGGUACCUGAGUAAGAAGCUCCGGCUAAAUACGUGCCAGCAGCCGCGGUAAUACGUAUGGAGCAAGCGUUAUCCGGAUUUACUGGGCGUAAAGGGAGCGUAGGCGGCCUGCCAAGUCUGAUGUGAAAUACCGGGGCUCAACCCCGGGGCUGCAUUGGAAACUGCGUCGCUGGAGUACGGGAGGGGCAGGCGGAAUUCCUGGUGUAGCGGUGAAAUGCGUAGAUAUCAGGAGGAACACCGGCGGCGAAGGCGGCCUGCUGGACCGUGACUGACGUUGAGGCUCGAGAGCGUGGGGAGCAAACAGGAUUAGAUACCCCUGUAA
RNAcentral lists this ribosomal RNA (447 nucleotides) under uncultured bacterium. RNAcentral describes it as "bacterial SSU rRNA". It matches the Rfam family "Bacterial small subunit ribosomal RNA", at positions 329 to 793 of the family's 1533-position model. The record is from RNAcentral.